Molecule: non-coding RNA, 4837 nt
Organism: Heterocephalus glaber (naked mole-rat)
Lineage: Eukaryota; Metazoa; Chordata; Mammalia; Rodentia; Bathyergidae
Source: RefSeq, a predicted model, not a curated record
UUACCCUGUGGAAAGCACACCUCUAUGACCUAACUUCCUUCCAGAAGGCUCUACUUCCUGCAGGUUCUACCACCUUCCAGCAGUGCCACAGGCUGGAAACCAAACCCAUAUCUGGACCAUUGGAGGAUGUUUAAAAUCCACACUAUAGCAAGGAGUUUAAAGAGAAUGGAGGAAAAAUAUUUUCUCAAAGAGCCAAACAAGACAAAAUACAGAGGAGUUCAAAGGUUAUAGAUCAAUAUAAUGAUAUGUACUAAUUAACAAAUUGGUGAUUGUAAACCCUUAUAUGUCCCCCAUUUAAUAAACAAUUAUUAAGUGCCUAAUGUACUAGAAUCUGGGGAUAUUCAGUUCAGUAAAACUCAUUUCCUGGCUUCAAUGAAGUCUACUGAAGACAGUCUAUCUAGACCAGACUUGAAGAGAUCACUUUAACAACAUAAUUACUCAUCUUCACAACUAAGGAGCAGGAUAAAUGCAACUUGCCUACUGCUGCUUCACCCCAAUAUAGAUCCUGUUCUGUGGAUCAAUAGCUACUCAUCAUCUCUCAAAUUGUCUAAAAAUGGCAUCAAAAAGCUGAUUUCUGAAACAUAUCUAAGGAUCUUGGACAAAACAGUGCAUUGUACUGCAACAACCACUUUAUGUGGGUUCACAGCCUGACAAAAGGCACAGGAGAUGGAACGGUCAACACGAACCUGCUUUCUUUGAACUUGUACUGAGUGGAAGAAGACAAAUACUGUAAUCACACAGGGGCAGAUCUUCACCUCCUAGGGAGCCUGGGAUCCACCUGAAGAAAAAGCUGGUAAAACAGCUCUGAGCUUUCAAGCCUAUGGGAUUUAACCACACCAACAACCAAUGCCUACCGAGCCAGCAAAUCCAGUUGAUUGAAGUCAGCUGUCUCAAUUCCUUCACACACCAGAUUUAAAAUGGAUCUACCUGUCUAACUGAGAAAGAAAUCACUGUAGCAAAAGCUCACUCACCAGAAUUAUAAUCCAAGGGGACAGUUGUACCACAGAGCCACCCAUUCAUGUGGACUUAGUCUCAAUCCUUUUUUGUUUUUGUGCUUGGUUUUGUUUUUUAAAAAUGAUUUUUGCCAUGGGGAUUAGCUCAAUGAUAGAGCACUUGUUUAGUGUACACAGGCCCCAGGUUCCAUACCCAACACAGGAAGAAAAAAAAAGAUUUUCAACAUUGGAGGAUAAAAUAACAACUCUGAGUAACUGUAGAUCAAAAAUUAUGGCUCAUGCUUAUGCUCACUGAAUAUUUGUUCUGGGUGGGGGAGAACUGAAAGAGGAAUAAUCUUAUUGUGUUAACCAAGACGUUUCCCUGUACCCUGAAAAGCUCAUGUUCUCAUCAAGAGAGCCUGAGAAAGUAGCCUCUCAAUUAAGAUUAAUAUCAGACCACAGAGAGCAUAAUGGUUUCAUUGAAUAUUCAGUUAUAAGCCAAACUUCUUCUUUCUGGUUGGAAAUGCCUUUUCAUUGUGAUAAAGAUUUUGACAUUGGAGAGUAAAGGGAAGAAAUAAAUACACAUGAGACAAGUUUAUCAGAAUGGGGGCUACAGAAUAUUCCUAGAAUCUUUGUGAGGUUAUAGAGAAAAAUAGAAGAGAAAGAGCUGGAAGUUGUGUUUAAAAGUGUUAUGUGUGUCCUUACCUUCAAAUUAGGUUAGAAAGGAUCUACUGUUAGUUGUCUUGGGAGAAAUUGUUUUCCAUUCUCUUAAUUUGGAAACAUUCUGGAAUUUUUUCUCCCAGUUUUUUUAUAUCCAGUGGUAUCCAUUUCAACUUUUAGGUAAGUAGUAUAUGAUAUAAGAUUAACCUUCAAUACACAAGUGUAUUUCUUUCUUUGCAAUUCAUACAUACCCAUUAUGUCUGCAGAUGUGUGAUUAUGAUUUUUUAGCCUUUUCAUAUAUUAUAUGUUAACUUUUUUACACAUGCAUGAUACUUGAUACUCUAUUAGUUACUUUCCCAUUGCUGGGAUAAAAUACAGGGCACCUGCAAUUUAAAAUAGGAGAAGAUUACUUUGCUCACAGUUUCAGUGGGUUCAGUCCAUGGCUGGCUGGUUCAAAGGCAGAAACAGCAGAGUAGAAGGGCAUUGCAGAGGACAGCUGAUAACCCCAUGGCAGACAGGUGGCAAAGAAAGAAAGAAGGAACCAGGGACAGUAAUACACCCUUCCAGAUCAUGCCUCUGGUGGUGGACCUCCAAUCAGGCCCAACCUCAUAAUAGCAUAUUCAGCUACUGAACUCAUCAGUGGAUGAAUACAUUCAUGAAUGUAGUCCCCCCAGGAUCCAAUCAUUUGCAAAAUCCCUACCUCUAAACACAUGCAACAUCUGAGGGGACAUUUUUUGUCUAAACCAUAAUAGUAAAAAGAAUUAUUUUCUAGAACAAAUUUAUCCAAACUUCCAGUUUUUUUAUUUCAUCUCCAAAUAAGUCAGCUUCUCCAGAGUUUUAAUUUUGCUGGCGCUUAAUAUCAAAUCUGUUAUCAGUAAAAUAUGAUUACCGCUGAUCAUGGAUUUUCAACUUCUUCAUUUAUAUCCCCUGAAUUUUAAAUAGAAUUCCAUUUCAUUAUGAAUGUCAACCUGAUUAUCAGUUAUGGUUAACAUUUGGUGAGGACCAAGUAUCUUCUAAACACCAUGCUUACAGAUGAGGCAAUCUUCCAUAGGCCCAUAAGCAUCCCUGUUUCUUUUUGCUGUGUUUACCAAGAAUGCAAAGUUCUGGGCUGGGGAUUUAGCUCAGUGGUUCCUCCUCCUGCCACGCAAGCGCAAAGUCGCGAGUUCGAUUCCAGUACCAAAAAAAAAGAAUGCAAAAGUUCUGACUGUCCUUUCGAAAGGCCAUUUCUCUGGGUUGUGUUCACAGCAAGUACGUGAAGAAUAAGGUAAUAACUCCCCUUGGACAAAGUCCAGACUUCUACUAUAUUUACUAUAAAGUAAUGCCUCUGUGAGAUAACUGUCCCCGCCUAUAACUCAAACCAGUGUGUGUGCAAGCAUGUGUUAUAGAACUUAUUGUUAUGGCUUAUAACUAGAUGUUCCCCUGAACCCGUAGAAGGGUUCACUCAUAGAUGGGGCUUUGGGGAGGUGGCUGAAUCAUGGGUGUGUGAUACUGGAUUAUGAAUGUGAUAACUGGAUCAGUCUACUGAUUGGUUUAGCAUAGCUCUGGGUAUGGAUUAUGGGAGGGCCCACCCCGAGUGUGUGUGGCACCAACAAAGCCUUGUAGCCUGAAUGAAGUAAAAGUGAAAGGAAGGCCCACUGCUAGGUGCUUCCUGUCUGCCACAUCAUAGACUAUUUCUUCUCUGCCAUGCCCCACCACCAUGCCACUUGUCUUGGAGCCAGGCAACUAUGGAGUGAAACCUCUAUAAACUGUGAGCUAAAAUAAACCUUUUCUCCUUUAGCUUUGUGUGUUAGGCAUUUUGUCCCAGCAACAAGAAAGUAACUAAGACACUUCUGUAGCACCACAAAUGAACACAAAGCUUUAGCAACUGUUUUUGCUAUAAGAAUUAAAUAUUUUUCCUGUCCCAGAAAUCUCAGGUCUUCUGCCUGCAUCCUGCAGCAGGUUAACUUAAAUAGCUUUUAAGUGUAGUAAAAUUACAGACCCUGCCUAUGUAGUUCUUGAUAAAAUUUUAAAGCUCCCAUGAGACUCUUUCAGAUACAGACCUAAAACAUCUCUGAAGUUACCAAUACCCUAUUGAUCACAAUUUUCUUCAUUAUUAAGUCUCAUUGUCAGUUCUCUUGUCAGCACCUUCCAUUUCAUAUGCUUUCCUGGCAGUUAAACUGCUCUACACUGUGCUGCUGAGAACAAUCCCUCUGCUUAUAAGCUACCAUGAUUUACAGCAUAAAGCCUCGGCUGGGCCUCCAACAACACUUGUGACUUCUUUUUGCUUGUUUUGGAGCAGUUCUUCCUCCCAUUCUCUUCAGAUGCUAAAACUUUACUCUUCCCUCAAAGCUUCUUCUCUAGCCCUUUGUCUCCACUGUCUUAUAGAAAGUUAGAAACUCCCAAGAAAUAACUCCAUAAACUGUGCUUCAGACAGAUCUGUAAAGGUGGAUCUAGAACACUCCUCUACCUCCUUAGCUAAAAACAUGAGCUGUUCCAGUCAAAUACCUCCUCCCUGUGAUAGUUAAUGCUGAAUGUCAACUUGAUUGUAUUAGAAAAUGCUUAGUAAAUUAGUAAAGAACAUUUCUGGUUAUGUCGGUGGAAGUGUACAGAGAUUAUUGGCAUUUGGGCCAGCAAACUGAUGGAGAAAAUCCACCCUAAUUUUGGGUGGCACCAUCCAAUAAGCUUAUAGUCUGGGUGGAAGGAAAAGGAAGAAGAAAGAAAUUGGCCUGCAUUUGAAAAGCUCCAUUCUGCUUGAAUGAGUGUGUUUUUGUUACUACCAAUGCCUUUGGAAAUCAGACUCCAGCUUCUUCAGCUUUACAUUGUGGAUUCAUACCAGCAAUGCUCCACAGAGCUCCCAAACCUUCAGUCCUGAACUGUCUGGUGUUCCAUCCUUUAUCCCUCUUGUUCCACAGCUUCUAGCUUCUUGGACUGAGCAAAUACUAGAAGGGCCUCUGGCUUGACAGUGUGCAGAUAGCCAUUGUGGACCCUAUCACCUCAGAUCAUGUAACCCUACCUAAUAAACAAAAUACCCAAAACCCACAACUUAAAGGAGAUUUACUUUUGGCUUAUGGUUUCUGUCCAUAGUCAACUAGCUGGCACAAAGACAGAAGCAGGAUGGCAGAAGGGCAUGGCAGAGAAAAAGGUACUCAACUCAUGUACUACAGCCAGAAAGCAGAGAGAGAAGGGAAGAGCCAAGAAUAAGAAUACACUUUACCCUGUCAGGCCCUCAGUGACCCAACCCCAACCAGGUCUCACCUCCUAACAGC